Long non-coding RNA from Poecile atricapillus (Black-capped chickadee), 1964 nucleotides. RefSeq lists it as uncharacterized. The transcript is spliced from 2 exons. Lineage: Eukaryota; Metazoa; Chordata; Aves; Passeriformes; Paridae. The record is from RefSeq and is a predicted model, not a curated record.
GGAGCUGGGGAAGGGGCUGGAGCACCAGGAGGGAGCUGGAGGGGCUCAGCCCGGAGAAAAGGAGGCUCAGCGGGGACCUUCUCGCUGUCCCUGGCAGGAGGAUGGGGCAGCGGGGAGAGUCAGACUCUUGUCCUGGCAACCAGCGACAGAACAAGAGGAAAUAGCACUAAGCUGCGCCAGGGGAGGUUUAGAUGGAGACUGCAGUUGGGACAUCCUCACACAUCAGCCGGCAGUCCAAACCCUGCACCCAGGUGAAGAGUGUGCUCAGCCCUGUUGGAGCCAGGCUUUACAGCUGAACCCUUGCUGAAGUGCUCCCUGACUGGAGAGGGCUCACAGGGAGGAGCACCGUGCUGCAGGUUUCUUGUGCAGCUCUGAACAAGAGUUUUAGAAGCAGAGGAAGUAGGACAGAGGCCCAACCCCAGAGCAGUGUGCAGGAAACACCAGCGGCUCUGCAACACUUGUUGUUGUACAUAGCCAUUUACAAAGAUUAGAAGGCCACUUUGUCUUGCUUGGCUGUAAUUAUCCAGGAUGUCAGGUGUCGGUUGAGGAUCCAGAGGACACAUCCUCAGCUCUCUUUGAGGGUAAUGAAGGUAGAGAGCACACUGCUCCUUGGCUGCAGGGGAAGAUGUAUUUUGCUUGUCAUUAAUAGUCAGGUAAUUGCAGACCCAAGGGAGCAGUGGUUUAAAUUAUUGCAAAAGCUGUCAUUGAGUGGCCUGGUUAUUGAACAGACACCGGUGUAUUUCCCUGCCACCUGCACAGGUUGUUACAGAGGAAAACAUUGUCACAUUUCUGGUUUUUAACACCUCCUUGUAAACACUGUUUUGCUUCCUCCUGCUGCCUAUGUGGGGCAAUGGGACAAGGUGUAACAGAUAAUAUCCAGUUCCAGAGAACAAAUUCAUCGUUAUACCUUGUUAUUUGUUCAAUUUAAUGAAAUGAUUAACAAAAAAACCAAACAAAAAACACCCCCAAACCAAAACAGCAACAAACCAAACCACUCUAUCAAGGUCCAUUUGUAGCAUCUGUGCAGUAAUUAAUUAUAUGUAUGCAUACCCGUGGCAUGAUUCUCUCACUCAACUAUGUUUUUUUUUUAAUGAAGAUACGUAUCUUUACCAUUUUUUAUUUGUAGCCACUACAUUUAGAUUUGUGUUAAGCCAUCAUUAUAAUAAUUCCAUAAAUUUUGUCAGACUAAUUUAUGACUUAAAUUGGUGCAAAGGAAGAAUCAAAUCUUUCUGGCCCUUGAGAUUUCAUCCACAGUGAAGGGUGUCAGAAGCAAACCAAAUGACAUUACCACAUGCCAUGUUACCACAUCAAAAAAACCCUAUGAGCCUUGCAGCCACUUGGCAAAGCAUAUCUGCAUUUCCCCUUGCUUCUGUCAGCCUGGAAAUGAUAGUGUGUUACCAUAUUCAGGGUAAAUGUUUCAUCAGAUUGGUAUUUCAGCCACUAAAAACAUUCUUGAACAAAUUUGUGAUUAGCUGUAUGGCUUUAUUCCUAUUGUCUCUGCUGCAGGAGGAUACUGGGAUUAGCAAAUGCGGAUUUACAUCACUGUUUUUCUCCUUAGGUUAACUAUAAACUUAAUGCUAAUCAAAUCCUGUGUAGUACUGACCAAGGGAAUAUGGCACAUCUCAUUUAAAAAAUCAUACCCAAGACAAGUUCUUAUCAUUUGUUCUCUGCAUUGUUUCUGCAUGAAUGUAAAUAACACAUUUGCUUUCUUAGACUACAGGUUGUUUUAUGAUGAAUACAUCCCCUAUCCUGUCAUCUCUACCUGUAAAAAUUAUCUCCUCAGAAGUUAAGAAACUCUUGUACCCAAACCCAUGAUCAUCCAAAAACAACCCUGUGAGUACUACAGAAGAAAUUCUGGAGACAAACUCUUAGAAGAAAAUCUGUAACAACGGUUAGGCGUUAGAUUCAUUGCCACCUUGUAAUUCUAGAAAUGUACUUGUGGACAUUUGUUAAAUCCAAACAUU